UACGAAGGGUGCGAGCGUUGUUCGGAUUUACUGGGCGUAAAGGGCGCGUAGGCGGCCCUCUUAGUCGCGUGUGAAAGCCCCGGGCUCAACCUGGGAAUUGCGCGCGAAACGGGGGGGCUUGAGUUCGGGAGAGGAGCGUGGAAUUCCCAGUGUAGAGGUGAAAUUCGUAGAUAUUGGGAAGAACACCGGUGGCGAAGGCGGCGCUCUGGACCGAGACUGACGCUGAGGCGCGAAAGCGUGGGGAGCAAACAGG
RNAcentral lists this ribosomal RNA (253 nucleotides) under uncultured bacterium. RNAcentral's name for it is "partial 16S ribosomal RNA". It matches the Rfam family "Bacterial small subunit ribosomal RNA", at positions 524 to 776 of the family's 1533-position model. The record is from RNAcentral.